RNAcentral lists this ribosomal RNA (459 nucleotides) under uncultured bacterium. RNAcentral describes it as "partial 16S ribosomal RNA". It matches the Rfam family "Bacterial small subunit ribosomal RNA", at positions 338 to 795 of the family's 1533-position model. The record is from RNAcentral.
CCUACGGGCGGCAGCAGUGAGGAAUAUUGGUCAAUGGGAGAGAUCCUGAACCAGCCAAGCCGCGUGAGGGAAGACGGCCCUAUGGGUUGUAAACCUCUUUUGUCGGAGAACAAAACCCGGGACGUGUCCCGGACUGCGUGUAUCCGAAGAAAAAGCAUCGGCUAACUCCGUGCCAGCAGCCGCGGUAAUACGGAGGAUGCGAGGGUUAUCCGGAUUUAUUGGGUUAAAAGGGUGCGUAGGCGGUCCGUUAAGUCAGCGGUAAAAUUGCGGGGCUCAACCCCGUCGAGCCGUUGAAACUGGCAGACUUGAGUUGGGGAGAAGUACGCAGAAUGCGCGGUGUAGCGGUGAAAUGCAUAGAUAUCGCGCAGAACUCCGAUUGCGAAGGCAGCGUACCGGCGCCAGACUGACGCUGAGGCACGAAAGCGUGGGGAGCGAACAGGAUUAGAUACCCGGGUAGUC